RNAcentral lists this non-coding RNA (45 nucleotides) under Schistosoma haematobium. Lineage: Eukaryota; Metazoa; Platyhelminthes; Trematoda; Strigeidida; Schistosomatidae. The record is from RNAcentral.
AUCCGGUUGACGAAUCCCAAAUGGGGCGAAAAGCGCGUCCUGGAU